GCUCGACUAGGCAAACUAGGCAAAGCCGCAGGCCUCAAAAGCCAGUGUUUGCGAGUUCGAAUCUCGCGUCGAGUAC
Molecule: transfer RNA, 76 nt
Filed under: Mycobacterium phage Rey
Lineage: Duplodnaviria; Heunggongvirae; Uroviricota; Caudoviricetes; Vilmaviridae
Description: tRNA-Leu
Rfam family: tRNA
About the family: Transfer RNA (tRNA) molecules are approximately 80 nucleotides in length. Their secondary structure includes four short double-helical elements and three loops (D, anti-codon, and T loops).
Source: RNAcentral